Molecule: long non-coding RNA, 521 nt
Organism: Homo sapiens (human)
Lineage: Eukaryota; Metazoa; Chordata; Mammalia; Primates; Hominidae
Source: Ensembl
UCUCCUUUAUAAAUUACCCAGGCUCAGAUUCAGAGCCCCAGCCUGUUCAUAAAAAAAAUCAGAUGAAUUUUGUCUGCGGAACAUUCUGCAAAAAUAUCUGACCAGUAAGUAAUCCUCUAAAUAGCCACAGCCAUCAACAGCAAGGAAAGUCUGAGAAAGUGUCACAGCCAAGAGGACCCUAUAAAGACAUGAUGACUAAAUGUAACAUGGUGUCUUCCAUGGGAUCCUGAAACAGAAAAAGGACAUUAGUCCUAGCUACUCCGGAGGCUGAGGCAGGAGGAUCACCUGAGCCCAGGACUUUGAGGCCGCUGUAAGCUAUGAUCAUGCCACUGCACUCCAGCUCAGGCAACAGUGAGACCCGGUCUCAACAAACAAAAGAAAAUAAAAGAAUGGUAGACAAGGAAAGCAGUUGAACAGCUAUGCGAGAAGCCUACUUUCUCUUCAUGUAACACGUUGGCCUAAGAGAUCUAUAGAGCUUUUUAAAAACAAAGAAGGCAGCAAGAUUUAAAAUAAUAAAACCA